ACGGGUGAGUAACACGUGGAUAACCUACCUAUAAGACUGGGAUAACUUCGGGAAACCGGAGCUAAUACCGGAUAAUAUUUUGAACCGCAUGGUUCAAAAGUGAAAGACGGUCUUGCUGUCACUUAUAGAUGGAUCCGCGCUGCAUUAGCUAGUUGGUAAGGUAACGGCUUACCAAGGCAACGAUGCAUAGCCGACCUGAGAGGGUGAUCGGCCACACUGGAACUGAGACACGGUCCAGACUCCUACGGGAGGCAGCAGUAGGGAAUCUUCCGCAAUGGGCGAAAGCCUGACGGAGCAACGCCGCGUGAGUGAUGAAGGUCUUCGGAUCGUAAAACUCUGUUAUUAGGGAAGAACAUAUGUGUAAGUAACUGUGCACAUCUUGACGGUACCUAAUCAGAAAGCCACGGCUAACUACGUGCCAGCAGCCGCGGUAAUACGUAGGUGGCAAGCGUUAUCCGGAAUUAUUGGGCGUAAAGCGCGCGUAGGCGGUUUUUUAAGUCUGAUGUGAAAGCCCACGGCUCAACCGUGGAGGGUCAUUGGAAACUGGAAAACUUGAGUGCAGAAGAGGAAAGUGGAAUUCCAUGUGUAGCGGUGAAAUGCGCAGAGAUAUGGAGGAACACCAGUGGCGAAGGCGACUUUCUGGUCUGUAACUGACGCUGAUGUGCGAAAGCGUGGGGAUCAAACAGGAUUAGAUACCCUGGUAGUCCACGCCGUAAACGAUGAGUGCUAAGUGUUAGGGGGUUUCCGCCCCUUAGUGCUGCAGCUAACGCAUUAAGCACUCCGCCUGGGGAGUACGACCGCAAGGUUGAAACUCAAAGGAAUUGACGGGGACCCGCACAAGCGGUGGAGCAUGUGGUUUAAUUCGAAGCAACGCGAAGAACCUUACCAAAUCUUGACAUCCUUUGACAACUCUAGAGA
This 918-nucleotide ribosomal RNA is filed under the name Staphylococcus aureus. RNAcentral describes it as "bacterial SSU rRNA". It matches the Rfam family "Bacterial small subunit ribosomal RNA", at positions 102 to 1006 of the family's 1533-position model. Lineage: Bacteria; Bacillati; Bacillota; Bacilli; Caryophanales; Staphylococcaceae. The record is from RNAcentral.